UCAGUGGUGAAGAGCACCGACUGCUCUUGC
RNAcentral lists this non-coding RNA (30 nucleotides) under Mus musculus (house mouse). Lineage: Eukaryota; Metazoa; Chordata; Mammalia; Rodentia; Muridae. The record is from RNAcentral.